GACGAACGCUGGCGGCGUGCUUAACACAUGCCAGUCGAACGGAAAGGCCCUGCUUUUGUGGGGUGCUCGAGUGGCGAACGGGUGAGUAACACGUGAGUAACCUGCCCUUGACUUUGGGAUAACUUCAGGAAACUGGGGCUAAUACCGGAUAGGAGCUCCUGCUGCAUGGUGGGGGUUGGAAAGUUUCGGCGGUUGGGGAUGGACUCGGGGGUUAUCAGCUUGUUGGUGGGGUAGUGGCUUACCAAGGCUUUGACGGGUAGCCGGCCUGAGAGGGUGACCGGCGACAUUGGGACUGAGAUACGGCCCAGACGCCAACGGGAGGCAGCAGUGGGGAGUAUGGCACAAUGGGCGGAAGCGUGAGGCAGCAACGCCGCGUGCGUGAUGACGGCCUUCGGGUGGUAAACCGCUUUAGGCUGUGACGAAGCGUGAGUGACGGUAAUGGGUAAAGAAGCACCGGCUAACUACGUG
RNAcentral lists this ribosomal RNA (468 nucleotides) under uncultured bacterium. Its description in RNAcentral is "partial 16S ribosomal RNA". It matches the Rfam family "Bacterial small subunit ribosomal RNA", at positions 28 to 507 of the family's 1533-position model. The record is from RNAcentral.